GACAGAGGUGCCAAGCGUUAGGCGGAAUCACUGGGCUUAAAGCGUGUGUAGGCGGAUUGGUAAGUACCUUGUGAAAUCCCACGGCUUAACCGUGGAACUGCUUGGUAUACUGCUUAUCUUGGGCCACUUAGGGGCUACCGGAACAAACGGUGGAGCGGUGAAAUGCGUAGAUAUCGUAAGGAAGACCAGUGGCGAAGGCGGGUCUCUGGACAGUUCCUGACGCUGAGGCACGAAGGUCAGGGGAGCAAACGGG
This 253-nucleotide ribosomal RNA is filed under the name uncultured bacterium. Its description in RNAcentral is "partial 16S ribosomal RNA". It matches the Rfam family "Bacterial small subunit ribosomal RNA", at positions 524 to 776 of the family's 1533-position model. The record is from RNAcentral.